Molecule: long non-coding RNA, 1284 nt
Organism: Pongo pygmaeus (Bornean orangutan)
Lineage: Eukaryota; Metazoa; Chordata; Mammalia; Primates; Hominidae
Exons: 3
Source: RefSeq, a predicted model, not a curated record
AGAAUAAGCAAAUCCAUAGAAACAGAAAAGAGAUAAGUGCUUGCCAGUGGUUGGGUAUUGGAGGAAUGGGAAUGGCUGCUAAUUGGUAUGGUGUUUAUAAUGUGAUGAAAUGUUUUGGAAAGAGACACUGGAGAUGAUUGCCCAACCUUGUGAAUAUAUUAACAUCGACUGAAUUGUACCCUUUAAAACGGUAGACUUCAUGGCCGGAACUGGAGUGGCUCUUUCACUCAGCCCGCCGCUGGCCACUCCUCCUCUCAGGAGGGAGGGUGCGAGCAAGCAAGUGCAGGAACUGAAGCGAACAAACACUGGAACUGGCCAGAGUCCAAGCGUGUUAUGACCAGUGCACUGUCAGCUCAGCCGUCCAGGGACAGGGAAGUGCCAACCAGCUCACUGGAGGGUCAAGGUGGCAGCCUCUGACCUCUCAGCACCCAGGUUCUUGUCCAGCAUCCAGGAAGAAUCAAGUCACACGAACUGUUUGAGAGGUUGAUGAACGCAGAAGACUUUAUUGAGCAGUGGGUGGCUCUCAGCAGAAAGGGAGACUGAAAAGGGGUCGGGAAAAUGAUCUCUUUCUCCCUGAAGCCUGGCUGUCCCUCUCUGAAGCCGCCCUGUCUGAAGUUAGCCACGUCUAUCCAUAGUCUCCAACGCUCAGUUUCUUCUCUGCUCACUGCUCAGCCGCUUGUGUUGCUCUGCCAGCUGAAGUCUUCUAUGGGCACAGGAUAGGAGCAUGGCAGGCCAAAAAGGUAACUUCAUCUUGACAUUCUGCAAAACAUAAUUCUGGUCGACUACAUGAGUGGCAUGAUGCUAAUGUGACUUAUGAGCAAGAAGUGGCAAAUACCCUACAUGCCCAAGUAAGUACAUAGUGAGAAAUAAUUCCAUAGAGAUUCAGAGGCCUACCAUAUUGUUGAAAUUUUGAAGAAUCCAACAAUCCAAUACAUGUGUUAUAAGGUAAAGACAGGUGGUAGAAUACUGUGCCAUCUAUGAUAAAUAAAGAGGCAUAGGCCAAGCAUGGUGGCUCACACCUGUAAUCCCAGCACUUUGGGAGGUCAAGGCUGGAGGAUCACUUGAGCAUAGGAGUUCAAGACUAGCCUGGACAACAUGGCAAAACUCUGUCUCCAUAAAAAAUACAAAAAUUUGCCAGGCAUGGUAGUGUGCACCUGUAGUUCCAGCUACUUGGGAGGCUGAGGUGGGAGGAUUGCUUGAGCCUGGGAAGUGUAGGUUGCAGUGAGCAGUGAGCUGUGAUUGCACUUGCACUCCAGCCUGGGUGACAAAGUAAGAUCCUGUCUU